GUGCCAGCCGCCGCGGUAAUACGUAGGGUCCAAGCGUUAUCCGGAAUUACUGGGCGUAAAGAGUUGCGUAGGUGGCAUAGUAAGUAGAUAGUGAAAGCGUGUGGCUUAACCAUACAUCCAUUAUCUAAACUGCUAAGCUAGAAGAUGAGAGAGGUAGAUGGAAUUCCCAAUGUAGGAGUGAAAUCCGUAGAUAUUGGGAGGAACACCGAUGGCGUAGGCAGUCUACUGGCUCAUUCUUGACACUAAUGCACGAAAGCGUGGGUAGCAAACGGGAUUAGAUACCCGAGUAGUCC
RNAcentral lists this ribosomal RNA (293 nucleotides) under uncultured bacterium. RNAcentral describes it as "partial 16S ribosomal RNA". It matches the Rfam family "Bacterial small subunit ribosomal RNA", at positions 505 to 796 of the family's 1533-position model. The record is from RNAcentral.